Molecule: long non-coding RNA, 210 nt
Filed under: Musa acuminata (dwarf banana)
Lineage: Eukaryota; Viridiplantae; Streptophyta; Magnoliopsida; Zingiberales; Musaceae
Description: long non-coding RNA (MACU_LNC011027)
Source: RNAcentral
AAUCAAACUCAUGAUUGGUCUCAAAAAUAGCUAUUGAGGACCUUCAUUGAGGGCUUGAAGCCGGAGAUCCGAGGAGAAGUUAAAGCGCGACAACCGUAUACGCUGAUGGCAGCCAUCUCUUUCGCACGACAUCAAGAGGAGCAAUUGAACCAUGAAGCUCGGAGGACUAGGGUCGCUCCUCAACUAGUAAUAUUGAAGCCCUCAGGCCCC